RNAcentral lists this long non-coding RNA (208 nucleotides) under Setaria italica (foxtail millet). RNAcentral's name for it is "long non-coding RNA (SITA_LNC005040)". The record is from RNAcentral. Lineage: Eukaryota; Viridiplantae; Streptophyta; Magnoliopsida; Poales; Poaceae.
UCAUGUUCAAUGUCACACCUUCUUUGCCUUGAGGUGAUUUCAUGUGGGAGCUAAAAGAUAAUGUUUUUGUGCAAAUUGGUAAUCGAUCUCCUCAAGGACAUGAUUUAUCGCACAAACCAUUGAGAUACUUGUUCUUUUUGCAGCGUGACAUCUUUACCAAGGUUUGUGUUCAUGACACCAAGAUACACUUAUCUAUGUCCUAGCAUCG